GGCCCACACUACUCUCGGUAACAGAUGUGGCAUGUUUAGAAACAAAUAUCUCUUUAUUGGCGUCCCUCACGGCAAUUUCGAUAGCAUUUUCUGAAUCAGCGUAAAAAGUUUAUCUAGCACACUUAUUUUCACAUUUCUCCGGCAACGCAAACUAAUGAUAUCUCAGUUUAAAAAUCGAUAAAAAGUGUCCGCGCGCCCAUGGUUUACGCGCCGCCCGCCCGUGACCCAGUUUUCAUCGCUGCGUCCUGCACUUCCGGGUUCAACCCGUGCACCAGGCGAAAAUGUAACUCUUUCUUUGAUUCGUCGGCGCCUCGCGGUAAAUACAAAUACAGCCAAUCAGAAGUGAUCUUUGUAAAGCCAACAGUCAGGAUUACGUCAUAUCCCUUCAUCACUGAACAGUCGCGGAAGUUCCAUGCCCAAAGCGAAGUGGAUGAGAAUACAUCGACGUAUUUUCGCUGUAUUUUUGACAUCUCUUAAUUUUCGGAAAAUAUGAUUUUACAGUCGACAGAUAACAUAUCAGGGGACAUACUGACGGAGUUUCAUGUAUUUCCGUUGAAAAAUGUUUGCGAGCUGCCGUCCCAAAGGCCGCGGAAAAUUCUUCGGUGACCCAAUUCACGGCUCCCGGCCGACCCUCCCCCCUCACGGACGGUGAUUCAACGCGGAUAUUUUCGGUAUAUAUUGCUGGAAUCUACCCAAAUGACAACAGCUAAGCUGACCUUUUAGAGCUACAAUAUUCCAGUGUCAAGUUCAAAGAUAAAGGAGAAAUCAUUCAUGCAAGAAACAUCGAAUCAUUUCAAACAAAACAACUUCAUGACAGACACAGCAUCUUGCUCUGUUGGCUACAUGAGUUUGGAGGAUUGGACACAAUUUUCUGCACUGCAAAAGUUUUGGUUCAAAAUGCAAAUUGGUGGUCGCACUGAGUACUGUACAGCAAAUCAGUGAAGAACUACAAUACAUGACGAAACAAUAUGGUAAGGUGAAAGCAUGAUAAUCCAGCCACCUGGCUGGCACGACAAGAAAAACUCUGUGCUAUGUAUACUGCCAGGAAAGGACAGAGGAAUGAAAACACUGUGAAGAACCUUUGAAAGAAGGACAA
Branchiostoma floridae (Florida lancelet) is the source of this 1096-nucleotide long non-coding RNA. RefSeq lists it as uncharacterized. NCBI's taxonomy places the organism in Eukaryota, Metazoa, Chordata, Leptocardii, Amphioxiformes, Branchiostomatidae. The record is from RefSeq and is a predicted model, not a curated record. The transcript has 2 exons.